This 1183-nucleotide ribosomal RNA is filed under the name uncultured bacterium. RNAcentral's name for it is "bacterial SSU rRNA". It matches the Rfam family "Bacterial small subunit ribosomal RNA", at positions 202 to 1399 of the family's 1533-position model. The record is from RNAcentral.
AAAGGAGCAAUCCGCUUUGAGAUGGCCUCGCGUCCUAUUAGUUAGUUGGUGAGGUAACGGCUCACCAAGGCGAUGACGGGUAGCCGGUCUGAGAGGAUGUCCGGCCACACUGGAACUGAGACACGGUCCAGACACCUACGGGUGGCAGCAGUCGAGAAUCAUUCACAAUGGGGGAAACCCUGAUGGUGCGACGCCGCGUGGGGGAAUGAAGGUCUUCGGAUUGUAAACCCCUGUCAUGUGGGAGCAAAUUAAAAAGAUAGUACCACAAGAGGAAGAGACGGCUAACUCUGUGCCAGCAGCCGCGGUAUACAGAGGUCUCAAGCGUUGUUCGGAAUCACUGGGCGUAAAGCGUGCGUAGGCUGUUUCGUAAGUCGUGUGUGAAAGGCGCGGGCUCAACCCGCGGACGGCACAUGAUACUGCGAGACUAGAGUAAUGGAGGGGGAACCGGAAUUCUCGGUGUAGCAGUGAAAUGCGUAGAUAUCGAGAGGAACACUCGUGGCGAAGGCGGGUUCCUGGACAUUAACUGACGCUGAGGCACGAAGGCCAGGGGAGCGAAAGGGGUUAGAUACCCCUGUAGUCCUGGCAGUAAACGGUGCACGCUUGGUGUGCAGGGAAUCGACCCCCUGCGUGCCGGAGCUAACGCGUUAAGCGUGCCGCCUGGGGAGUACGGUCGCAAGAUUAAAACUCAAAGAAAUUGACGGGGACCCGCACAAGCGGUGGAGUAUGUGGCUUAAUUCGAUGCAACGCGAAGAACCUUACCUGGGCUUGACAUGUAAUGAACAACAUGUGAAAGCAUGCGACUCUUCGGAGGCGUUACACAGGUGCUGCAUGGCCGUCGUCAGCUCGUGUCGUGAGAUGUUUGGUUAAGUCCAGCAACGAGCGCAACCCCUGUUGCCAGUUACCAGCACGUGAAGGUGGGGACUCUGGCGAGACUGCCCAGAUCAACUGGGAGGAAGGUGGGGACGACGUCAGGUCAGUAUGGCCCUUAUGCCCAGGGCUGCACACGUACUACAAUGCCCAGUACAGAGGGGGCCGAAGCCGCGAGGCGGAGGAAAUCCUAAAAACUGGGCCCAGUUCGGACUGUAGGCUGCAACCCGCCUACACGAAGCCGGAAUCGCUAGUAAUGGCGCAUCAGCUACGGCGCCGUGAAUACGUUCCCGGGUCUUGCACUCACCGCCCGUCA